CGGAUUUACUGGGCGUAAAGGGCGCGUAGGCGGCCAUUCAGGUCAGCUGUGAAAUCUCCGGGCUUAACUCGGAACGGUCAGCUGAUACUGCUUUGCUAGAGUGCAGAAGGGGCAAUCGGAAUUCUUGGUGUAGCGGUGAAAUGCGUAGAUAUCAGGAGGAACACCAACGGCGAAGGCAGCUCGCUGGGACGGUACUGACGCUGAGGCGCGAAAGCGUGGGGAGCGAACAGG
This 231-nucleotide ribosomal RNA is filed under the name uncultured bacterium. Its description in RNAcentral is "partial 16S ribosomal RNA". It matches the Rfam family "Bacterial small subunit ribosomal RNA", at positions 546 to 776 of the family's 1533-position model. The record is from RNAcentral.